Molecule: ribosomal RNA, 504 nt
Filed under: Gempylodes lewisii
Lineage: Eukaryota; Metazoa; Arthropoda; Insecta; Coleoptera; Zopheridae
Description: partial 16S ribosomal RNA
Rfam family: Bacterial large subunit ribosomal RNA
Source: RNAcentral
CAUGUCCUAUUGAAUUUAAUUUUAGGUCAGGCCUGCCCAAUGAAAUAUUAAUGGCCGCAGUAUUUUGACUGUGCAAAGGUAGCAUAAUCAUUAGUUUCUUAAUUGGAAGCUGGAAUGAAUGGUUCAAUGAGAAAGAGGCUGUCUCAAUUAAAUUGGAUUUGAAAUUUUCUUUUAAGUAAAAAGACUUAAAUUUUUUAAGAGGACGAGAAGACCCUAUAGAGUUUUAUUUAUUUUAAAUUUUUAAAUAGGAUUUAAUUCUAAAAAUUAUAGAUUUAAAUUUUGUUGGGGUGAUAUGAGAAUUAAAAUAACUUCUUAUUUUAUAGAAUAAUAAUUUUUAGGUUUUUGAUCUUGAUAUUUGGAUUAUAAGACAAAAUUACCUUAGGGAUAACAGCGUAAUUUCUUUGGAGAGUUCAUAUCGAUAGGGGAGAUUGCGACCUCGAUGUUGGAUUAAGAUUAACUAAGGUGUAGAAGUUUUAGGAAUAAGUCUGUUCGACUUGUAAAAUC